GAUGAACGCUGGCGGCGUGCCUAAUACAUGCAAGUCGAGCGAACAGAUGAGGAGCUUGCUCCUCUGACGUUAGCGGCGGACGGGUGAGUAACACGUGGAUAACCUACCUAUAAGACUGGGAUAACUUCGGGAAACCGGAGCUAAUACCGGAUAACAUAUUGAACCGCAUGGUUCAAUAGUGAAAGACGGUUUUGCUGUCACUUAUAGAUGGAUCCGCGCCGCAUUAGCUAGUUGGUAAGGUAACGGCUUACCAAGGCAACGAUCCGUAGCCGACCUGAGAGGGUGAUCAGCCACACUGGAACUGAGACACGGUCCAGACUCCUACGGGAGGCAGCAGUAGGGAAUCUUCCGCAAUGGGCGAAAGCCUGACGGAGCAACGCCGCGUGAGUGAUGAAGGUCUUCGGAUCGUAAAACUCUGUUAUUAGGGAAGAACAAAUGUGUAAGUAACUAUGCGCGGCUUGACGGUACCUAAUCAGAAAGCCACGGCUAACUACGUG
This 497-nucleotide ribosomal RNA is filed under the name uncultured bacterium. RNAcentral's name for it is "partial 16S ribosomal RNA". It matches the Rfam family "Bacterial small subunit ribosomal RNA", at positions 28 to 507 of the family's 1533-position model. The record is from RNAcentral.